This is a long non-coding RNA of Glossina fuscipes, 1194 nucleotides long. RefSeq lists it as uncharacterized. The record is from RefSeq and is a predicted model, not a curated record. Lineage: Eukaryota; Metazoa; Arthropoda; Insecta; Diptera; Glossinidae. The transcript has 3 exons.
AUUUUCUGUUGUCUUCUACAUUUUCGAUUGAAAUAUAAAAUUAAUUCACGUAAAAGCCAAUUAUUAUUGAUAAUUGCAAUUCCAAAAAAUAUGGUCUAAACGAUAUUUAACAUUUUGGUUGCUUGCGAUUUCGAUAAUCAAUGGAUUUUAGAUAUUCAAGAGCCCUUAAGGACGGAAUGGAUGCAAAAUAUAAGUACCAAAUAAAUAUAAAGAUUAUUUUUUUAAAUAUAUAUUAUAACUGCCAAAUUUAUGAAUAAGAAGCUGCGAGAAACAAAAUGCAAAUACGAAUUACAUAUUACAAAUUAUCUACACAGCCGCAUAGAAAAUAAAUGAAAGGAAAAGAACAAACAACAAAGAUUUCAGAGAACGCCCCAAUAUAAUAGCAAUUAAAAAGAAAAAAAAGACAGAAUUAUUGUUUGAAUGGAGUGAUAAUCGGAGGAACUCAUGGACUUAUGGGUUGGAGAUUGUAUGGAGUUCGUAACGAGUGUCCCACUUAUUAGAGCCGAAAUCUAAAAGUAUCGCGCAACUCGAGCCUAGAAAGGACCACUCGCAGCACCUGCGUCUAAUUCUGGGAAUGAUAAUAUGCGAAAUCCUGGUAGAGCGAGUAAAGGAAAAUGUGGAACAUAAUUACCCGAAUUUAGCCCUAAAAAAGAUGUUCAGGAAUGCAACACAUAGAUCGUAGUACCAGGCACUACUUCUAAGUUAUAAAGGAUCUGCGGCAUUAGGAGGGCGUAGGCUAGUUCAUGAAAUCGUUAUGGUUCUCAAAGUUGACGCGAUGGUCAAAAAAUACGUCCAAGCAGUUAAGAAACAAUAGCUAUAAGGAUAUCAUUUUGGUGAGGAUAAUAAUUCACAUUACCGAAAAGCAUGAUAGGACAUCAGAAUUACUACUACCAGUAGUAUGCAUUAGAAGCAAAGAAGAGGACCUCAGUGGAGCUAUGGCAGCCCGGACAAUAAAAGAAGAAUUCCAUAAUAGUUGCCAUUAAUAUCAGUGAGCUAAAAUCUGCCAGUUAGGUGCAAAUGCAUAUGGAUGCAGAAUGGUUCAUGGAAUUAAAGGCUUUGUCAGGAUAAGUCCAUAGACAUGUUUUUAACAUAACAUUUAAUCGUAUCAGUUAAGUUCACCAAUAAGAUCCGAAUAAACCAAAACUCUUUAAUUGUAUAAGAAAACAGAAUUUAUUUUCCCUUAAGCGUAUUCUA